Molecule: ribosomal RNA, 544 nt
Filed under: uncultured bacterium
Lineage: Bacteria
Description: bacterial SSU rRNA
Rfam family: Bacterial small subunit ribosomal RNA
Source: RNAcentral
GGAAUUUUCCGCAAUGGGCGAAAGCCUGACGGAGCAACGCCGCGUGAGGGAUGAAGGCCUCUGGGCUGUAAACCUCUUUUCUCAAGGAAGAAGAUCUGACGGUACUUGAGGAAUAAGCCACGGCUAAUUCCGUGCCAGCAGCCGCGGUAAUACGGGAGUGGCAAGCGUUAUCCGGAAUUAUUGGGCGUAAAGCGUCCGCAGGCGGCCUCGUAAGUCUGUUGUCAAAGCGUGGAGCUUAACUCCAUUUCGGCAAUGGAAACUGUGAGGCUUGAGUGUGGUAGGGGCAGAGGGAAUUCCCGGUGUAGCGGUGAAAUGCGUAGAUAUCGGGAAGAACACCAGUGGCGAAGGCGCUCUGCUGGGCCAUAACUGGCGCUCAUGGAGGAAAGCCAGGGGAGCGAAAGGGAUUAGAUACCCCUGUAGUCCUGGCCGUAAACGAUGAACACUAGGUGUCGGGGGAAUCGACCCCCUCGGUGUCGUAGCCAACGCGUUAAGUGUUCCGCCUGGGGAGUACGCACGCAAGUGUGAAACUCAAAGGAAUUGACGG